GAUGAACGCUAGCGGCAGGCCUAACACAUGCAAGUCGAGGGGUAGGACAUUUCGGUGUCUGAGACCGGCGCACGGGUGCGUAACGCGUAUGCAAUCUGCCUUAUACUAAGGGAUAGCCCAGAGAAAUUUGGAUUAAUACCUUAUAGUAUAUAGAUGUGGCAUCACGUUUAUAUUAAAGAUCUAUCGGUAUAAGAUGAGCGUGCGUCCCAUUAGCUAGUUGGUAUGGUAACGGCAUACCAAGGCAAUGAUGGGUAGGGGUCCUGAGAGGGAGAUCCCCACACUGGUACUGAGACACGGACCAGACUCCUACGGGAGGCAGCAGUGAGGAAUAUUGGUCAAUGGGCGCAAGCCUGAACCAGCCAUGCCGCGUGCAGGAUGACGGUCCUAUGGAUUGUAAAACUGCUUUUUGUACGGGAAGAAACAACUCUUCGUGAAGAGUCUUGACGGUACCGUAAGAAUAAGGAUCGGCUAACUCCGUGCCAGCAGCCGCGGUAAUACGGAGGAUCCAAGCGAUAUCCGGAAUCAUUGGGUUUAAAGGGUCCGUAGGCGGUUUAUAAGUCAGUGGUGAAAUCCGGCAGCUCAACUGUCGAACUGCCAUUGAUACUGUAG
Molecule: ribosomal RNA, 609 nt
Filed under: uncultured bacterium
Lineage: Bacteria
Description: bacterial SSU rRNA
Rfam family: Bacterial small subunit ribosomal RNA
Source: RNAcentral